GGCCCUUUGUUAAAAGAAGAUAGGGGGUCUAGCCUGCCCAGUGACAGUAGUUAAACGGCCGCGGUAUCCUAACCGUGCAAAGGUAGCGUAAUCAUUUGCUUAUUAAUUGUGGGCUAGUAUGAACGGCUUGACGAGGGUGAGGCUGUCUCCUGACAGGAUAUAUGGAAAUUAUUUUUUAGGUGAAGAGACCUAAAUAUAGCUAAGGGACGAUAAGACCCUAUCGAGCUUUAGUGGUAUCUCAUAGUGCGAUGUUGGUAAAUUUAUAUUUAUUUUGUGAGAGAAUCUUUGGUUGGGGCGAUCGUAAAGUAGAAGAAACCUUUAAUGUUUAAGUGUUGGCUGAUAGGUUAAAGAUCUGGCAUAUUAUGCAGAUAGAAAGAAUAAGCUACCGUAGGGAUAACAGCGUAAUCCUUUUGGAGAGUUCUUAUUGAGAAAAGGGCUUGCGACCUCGAUGUUGGACUAAGAUUUCCUGAGGGUGUAGCAGCUUUCGAGGGUUGGUCUGUUCGACCAUUAAAAUCUUACA
This 520-nucleotide ribosomal RNA is filed under the name Dendrofissurella scutellum. RNAcentral's name for it is "partial large subunit ribosomal RNA". It matches the Rfam family "Bacterial large subunit ribosomal RNA", at positions 1817 to 2600 of the family's 2925-position model. The record is from RNAcentral. Lineage: Eukaryota; Metazoa; Mollusca; Gastropoda; Lepetellida; Fissurellidae.